Molecule: ribosomal RNA, 492 nt
Filed under: uncultured bacterium
Lineage: Bacteria
Description: bacterial SSU rRNA
Rfam family: Bacterial small subunit ribosomal RNA
Source: RNAcentral
AUUGAACGCUGGCGGCAUGCCUUACACAUGCAAGUCGAACGGUAACGGGCCUUCGGGUGCCGACGAGUGGCGAACGGGUGAGUAAUGCAUCGGAACGUACCUUUCAGUGGGGGAUAACGUAGCGAAAGUUACGCUAAUACCGCAUAUUCUGUGAGCAGGAAAGCAGGGGAUCGCAAGACCUUGCGCUGAUUGAGCGGCCGAUAUCAGAUUAGCUAGUUGGUGAGGUAAAGGCUCACCAAGGCGACGAUCUGUAGCGGGUCUGAGAGGAUGAUCCGCCACACUGGAACUGAGACACGGUCCAGACUCCUACGGGAGGCAGCAGUGGGGAAUUUUGGACAAUGGGCGCAAGCCUGAUCCAGCCAUGCCGCGUGAGUGAAGAAGGCCUUCGGGUUGUAAAGCUCUUUUGUCCGGUAAAGAAAGCAUUCGGUUAAUAACCGGAUGUCAUGACGGUACCGGAAGAAUAAGCACCGGCUAACUUCGUGCCAGCAGCCG